RNAcentral lists this ribosomal RNA (460 nucleotides) under uncultured bacterium. Its description in RNAcentral is "partial 16S ribosomal RNA". It matches the Rfam family "Bacterial small subunit ribosomal RNA", at positions 338 to 795 of the family's 1533-position model. The record is from RNAcentral.
CCUACGGGCGGCAGCAGUGAGGAAUAUUGGUCAAUGGGCGCGAGCCUGAACCAGCCAAGUAGCGUGAAGGAUGACGGCCCUACGGGUUGUAAACUUCUUUUAUAAAGGAAUAAAGUGAGGCACGGGUGCCUUUUUGUAUGUACUUUAUGAAUAAGGAUCGGCUAACUCCGUGCCAGCAGCCGCGGUAAUACGGAGGAUCCGAGCGUUAUCCGGAUUUAUUGGGUUUAAAGGGAGCGUAGAUGGGUUGUUAAGUCAGGUGUGAAAGUUUGCGGCUCAAACGUAAAAUUGCAAUUGAUACUGGCAGACUUGAGUACAGUUGUGGUAGGCGGAAUUCGAGGUGUAGCGGUGAAAUGCUUAGAUAUCACGAAGAACACCGAUUGCGAAGGCAGCUUACUAAACUUACACUGACAUUGAGGCACGAAAGUGUGGGUAUCAAACAGGAUUAGAUACCCCAGUAGUC